RNAcentral lists this ribosomal RNA (425 nucleotides) under uncultured bacterium. RNAcentral's name for it is "partial 16S ribosomal RNA". It matches the Rfam family "Bacterial small subunit ribosomal RNA", at positions 354 to 796 of the family's 1533-position model. The record is from RNAcentral.
GUUAGGAAUAUUGGACAAUGGGCGAAAGCCUGAUCCAGCCAUGCCGCGUGAACGAUGAAGGCCUUCGGGUUGUAAAGUUCUUUAGCCGAUGAUUAUAAUGACUGUAGUCGGAAAAUAAGCCCCGGCUAACUUCGUGCCAGCAGCCGCGGUAAUACGAAGGGGGCGAGCGUUAUUCGGAAUCACUGGGCGUAAAGCGUGCGUAGGCGGUUUUGUAAGUUAGGAGUGAAAGCCCAGGGCUCAACCUUGGAAUUGCUCUUAAAACUGAGAGGCUCGAAUCUCGGAGAGGAUAGCGGAAUUUCCAGUGUAGCAGUGAAAUGCGUAGAUAUUGGAAGGAACACCAGUGGCGUAAGCGGCUAUCUGGACGAGUAUUGACGCUGAGGCACGAAAGCGUGGGGAUCAAACAGGAUUAGAUACCCCAGUAGUCC